Monodelphis domestica (gray short-tailed opossum) is the source of this 104-nucleotide small nuclear RNA. Lineage: Eukaryota; Metazoa; Chordata; Mammalia; Didelphimorphia; Didelphidae. The record is from Ensembl.
GUGCUUGCUUCGGAAGUACAUAUACUAAAAUUUGCCCAAUCCAGAGAAUAUUAGCAUGUCCCCUGCUCAAGGAUGACACACAGAAUGACAAAAUUUCAGUUGCU